This 769-nucleotide ribosomal RNA is filed under the name Staphylococcus succinus. RNAcentral's name for it is "bacterial SSU rRNA". It matches the Rfam family "Bacterial small subunit ribosomal RNA", at positions 59 to 812 of the family's 1533-position model. The record is from RNAcentral. Lineage: Bacteria; Bacillati; Bacillota; Bacilli; Caryophanales; Staphylococcaceae.
CAGUCGAGCGACGGAUAAGGAGCUUGCUCCUUUGAAGUUAGCGGCGGACGGGUGAGUAACACGUGGGUAACCUACCUAUAAGACUGGAAUAACUUCGGGAAACCGGAGCUAAUGCCGGAUAACAUAUAGAACCGCAUGGUUCUAUAGUGAAAGAUGGUUUUGCUAUCACUUAUAGAUGGACCCGCGCCGUAUUAGCUAGUUGGUAAGGUAAUGGCUUACCAAGGCGACGAUACGUAGCCGACCUGAGAGGGUGAUCGGCCACACUGGAACUGAGACACGGUCCAGACUCCUACGGGAGGCAGCAGUAGGGAAUCUUCCGCAAUGGGCGAAAGCCUGACGGAGCAACGCCGCGUGAGUGAUGAAGGUUUUCGGAUCGUAAAACUCUGUUAUUAGGGAAGAACAAAUGCGUAAGUAACUGUGCGCAUCUUGACGGUACCUAAUCAGAAAGCCACGGCUAACUACGUGCCAGCAGCCGCGGUAAUACGUAGGUGGCAAGCGUUAUCCGGAAUUAUUGGGCGUAAAGCGCGCGUAGGCGGUUUCUUAAGUCUGAUGUGAAAGCCCACGGCUCAACCGUGGAGGGUCAUUGGAAACUGGGAAACUUGAGUGCAGAAGAGGAAAGUGGAAUUCCAUGUGUAGCGGUGAAAUGCGCAGAGAUAUGGAGGAACACCAGUGGCGAACGCGACUUUCUGGUCUGUAACUGACGCUGAUGUGCGAAAGCGUGGGGAUCAAACAGGAUUAGAUACCCUGGUAGUCCACGCCGUAACGAUGA